Molecule: long non-coding RNA, 479 nt
Filed under: Chrysolophus pictus (golden pheasant)
Lineage: Eukaryota; Metazoa; Chordata; Aves; Galliformes; Phasianidae
Description: lncRNA (ENSCPIG00010011474.1)
Source: RNAcentral
CUUCCGGAGGCUCAGUCACCAUAGAGCGGUGGUUUCUCUGCGCAGAGAAGCUAGAAUUUAGACAAGUCACUUCCGGCUUUCUAUGCGCAUGCGUCUUACUGCCUGGAGGCUCAAACACCAUCGAAGUUGGCGGACUCGAAGCGCAGAGCAGUUGUACGCAAAUUACCGAUGCGCUGAGCCAAUCGGUGGCCGCGCGGAGGUAACUGGGAGUGAAACCGGCCAGUUUCUGGGUUCACUCGGGCACGCGGAGGGGUGUAGGUGUGAGAGGUAGCGCGGAACUAAUGGGGAACAUGAGUAAGAACUGCUGGCAGCUUAGGGAAUUCUCGCCGUACCUGCGGAGUGACCACGUUUUGCUCCACGAGUUAAUUUCAGGCAGUACUGUCAUGACUGAUUAUUUACCAUCAAAAGACGCAGGCUUUUUUGAGGCUGAAUCCCCAAUACCUCAAAAUGCUUUUUAUUGGAGUGUGGAAGAAAUGUGA